GGGGACGUUUUGGAUUUGACAGGAUGUUCGGUGAAAACAGGUUGCGAGUCCGAGCGCUGUUCUCGGUAAUCAACGAGCAACACAAAUUAAAUGCUAACAACGUAAUUAAAGCAGACUUCUCUAGAGCUUACGCUUUAGCAGCUUAGUCGCUUAUUAUAGCUACUCAUAAAGUCCAGCUUGCCGAUUUUAUGAGUCCAUUAUGCAAGCGGCAGUACGUUGAUGAAGGUAGACGUAUCAAGAUAACCUUCAAGGGUUAGUGUUUCCAUCAAAAACACUUUGGAUUAUUUAAAAGGUCAUGAUAUUUCCUGAAUAAUCCGAGAGAAUAAAUAUCUACACUCGUAGAAGCUUGUUUUAAUCCAUUUUGGACAGGGGUUCGACUCCCCUCGUCUCCA
This 392-nucleotide transfer-messenger RNA is filed under the name human gut metagenome. It matches the Rfam family "transfer-messenger RNA". Rfam says of the family: Bacterial tmRNA, also known as 10Sa RNA or SsrA, is named for its dual tRNA and mRNA-like properties. Its role is to liberate the mRNA from a stalled ribosome. To accomplish this part of the tmRNA is used as a reading frame that ends in a translation stop signal. The record is from RNAcentral.